This 389-nucleotide ribosomal RNA is filed under the name uncultured bacterium. RNAcentral describes it as "bacterial SSU rRNA". It matches the Rfam family "Bacterial small subunit ribosomal RNA", at positions 29 to 417 of the family's 1533-position model. The record is from RNAcentral.
AUUGAACGCUGGCGGCGUGCCUAACACAUGCAAGUCGAGCGGUAACAGGUGUAGCAAUACAUGCUGACGAGCGGCGAACGGGUGAGUAAUGCUUCGGAAUCUACCCAAUGGUGGGGAAUAACCAGCCGAAAGGUUGGCUAAUACCGCAUACGUCCCACGGGAGAAAGCAGGGGAUCGCAAGACCUUGCGCCAAUGGAUGAGCCGAAGUCGGAUUAGCUAGUUGGAGGGUAACGGCCUACCAAGGCGACGAUCCGUAGCUGGUCUGAGAGGACGACCAGCCACACUGGGACUGAGACACGGCCCAGACCCCUACGGGAGGCAGCAGUGGGGAAUAUUGGACAAGUGGGGGAAACCCUGAUCCAGCGACGCCGCGUGUGUGAAGAAGGCCU